UUCAUUUGUGAUGAUUGUUAUUCAUAUUGGGGUUCAUCUUCGGGGUUCAUUUGUGAUGAUUGUUCUUCAUAUUUGGGUUCAUCUUCGGGGUUCAUUUGUGACGAUUGUUCUUCAUAUUGGGGUUCAUCUUUGGGGGUCGUUUGUGGUGACUGGUUAUACAUAUCGGGAGUUUAUUCAGGAUAUUUGGUUACUUUGUUGGGGUCCGUUCUGAUAACCUUUUUCUUUGGUGUCG
This 232-nucleotide long non-coding RNA is filed under the name Lathyrus oleraceus (garden pea). Its description in RNAcentral is "Pisum sativum (pea) long non-coding RNA (PSAT_LNC022095)". The record is from RNAcentral. Lineage: Eukaryota; Viridiplantae; Streptophyta; Magnoliopsida; Fabales; Fabaceae.